GCGGACGUAGCUCAUUUGGCAGAGCGCCACCUUGCCAAGGUGGAGGUAGCGGGUUCGACCCCCGUCGUCCGCUCCA
RNAcentral lists this transfer RNA (76 nucleotides) under Candidatus Improbicoccus pseudotrichonymphae. RNAcentral describes it as "tRNA-Gly". It matches the Rfam family "tRNA". Rfam says of the family: Transfer RNA (tRNA) molecules are approximately 80 nucleotides in length. Their secondary structure includes four short double-helical elements and three loops (D, anti-codon, and T loops). The record is from RNAcentral. Lineage: Bacteria; Bacillati; Bacillota; Clostridia.